CUCCUUAUCAGAAAACAUAUAUAAACAAUAUUGAGAGAGUUCAACAAAAAUUUCUUCAUAUUGUUGCUGGAUAUAGUGGUAGUCCCAUGCCUCUUGAGUCUCAUAAUUAUGAUAACUUAUCAAUACUAAUCUCCAAACACUGCACAGUAGAAGAAGAAUUGCAGAUAUCAUGUUUAGUGAAUCGAUUAGAACUACAGAAACCGAGGUUCUCUAUAAAAAUUAGUGUACAAGUUGUUAACACCGUGACUGUCCAGUGACCUACAUGAGGAUCACAGACGGGCCUCGACUCGGAAGACGCUGAACCGCAGAACAAACAUCAGGUGUACCCGGUUCUGCGGCACGUAUGAUGAAUAGACGCUGUGUGGCGCGAGCCAAUGGGGCAAUAGACGGUGAAUCGACGCUUGUGGCAUUUCGUGGACAUAACAUGUGUACUUUAUUGCUAUACUCACUUCUUCGCCUUGUACAAACCAGCCCCAACGAUACCAGCGCCAAGAAGAGCUUUGGCUCCGAGGGCAGCCCCGCCGAGCAAAAGAGCCUUCUUGCCAAG
Colletes gigas is the source of this 547-nucleotide long non-coding RNA. RefSeq lists it as uncharacterized. The record is from RefSeq and is a predicted model, not a curated record. Lineage: Eukaryota; Metazoa; Arthropoda; Insecta; Hymenoptera; Colletidae. The transcript is spliced from 5 exons.